Molecule: ribosomal RNA, 121 nt
Filed under: Bison bison bison
Lineage: Eukaryota; Metazoa; Chordata; Mammalia; Artiodactyla; Bovidae
Source: RNAcentral
GUCUCAGGCCGUAAUCAGCCUGAAGGCGCCCGAUCUCGUCUGAUCUCGGAAGCUAAGCAGGGUCGGGCCUGGUUAGGAUCUUGGAUGGGAGACCACCUGGGAAUCCCGGGUGCUCGAGGCU